GUUCUCUCUACACUUUCUUUCUCUUCCUCUCCAGUGGUUACGAGUAACCAAAAAAUCCAGAGAGAAACCAAAAAUUCAGAAAGAGAUUCAGAGAUAUCCAGAGAUCAACUACUCUAGAUUGAUUGAAAAACUACAAAUUAAUUUUGAUUUUGUAAACCUAAAGUGAUUGAAAACCCACUUUAUAGAAAUCUAGAUAUUGAUUUUCAACUCUUAGAAGAAGAAGAUUGAAGUCGCAGAAUCAAUUUCUUAGAAGUUCUAUCAGAAGAAGAUUGAAGUGCAAAUAUAGCAGUUUCAAGUACAAAUUUUUGAAGAUUCAGUAGAAUGGAAUCAAGUCGAAGCGGUUCAAAUCCGUCUCAUUCAACUACUACGCCAUCCCAGAAAUAUGUAUCCAGCAAAUCAAAAAAGCCGAAGUUUAUCACUGUCAAUUUUGUUGGUAAGGUCAUAGGAGAUUGGAUUUCUAUUGGGAAAUUCGCCACUAGGGAUGCAGAGCUCAUACGGAGUCAUGUUCCUAUAUCACACAAGGAGUGGAGGUGUGUGCCGGACAAUUUUAAAGACGACGUGUGGACUGCUUUGAAGGGUGAAUUUGGGUUCAAUAUGGACCCAGCAUCCUGCUGGAAAAUUGUUGAAGCAUCAUUUCCACUCUUUUACAGGCGAUUCAAAUAUGAGUUUAGGCAGACAUUAAAGCAACGAGUUUUUUCUCGUGACAAAGAAAGAAAAAGAGCAAGAAGUAAGGAAGGAGCUGACAUACCCGAGGAGGUAGAUGAAGAACCACUUCCUGAACUCACUCCAGAAAUAUGGGAAAGUGCAAGAGCAGAUGUUCCACUUGGGAUUGAUCCAUAUAUCUGAAAGGAAUUUGUUGAUUUGGAGAAGAAUCCUGAAAAGGUAGCAAAGAAUAAGGUGAAUGCAGAAAGCAAAGCAAAGAAAACUAUCCAUCAUACACUCAGCAGAAAGCAACCUAUCCCUCAGAUAGGUUGCAAUCGAUGCCAAUCAGGGAGUAAUAUCUUCCUAGUUUGUAUUCUUUUUUGUGUUCUUUUGCGCAACAAUUAUAGGUUCAACACAAGCAUAGCAACCCCGUUUGCACUGAUCAGUAGUAUUUCCUUCUUUUUUUUUUGUUCUUUUUUGUUAUUUGAACUCCAUUUGUUUCUUUUGCGCAGCAAAGGACAGGUUCAAACUAGCACAGGGCAAGUUCCACUUGUUGCAUCGAAGAAUUUUCUUGUUAGUGUCCUUUUUUGUUUGUUUCAUCCUUAGUAGUGUUGUCUAGCACAUUGAGGAUAGGAUUUUUUGGGGUUUGUAACUGCCUAUAUUUACUCAAUAUAAUAUAUCUUAUUAAUUUGACCAAAACCAUUUUAACUCCGCCAGUGCUUGCAUUUCUGGUCCCAAGCCUGGAUAAAGGAGGAGGGAAAAUGAUUUAUUUUUACUCAGUACUAACUACUUUGCUUUGCAACUUUUAUUACUUGAUUCAGCUGGUUGUGGACAUUAAGGAGAGCUGCUCACAAGUGGUAUUUUUCAGGUUGGUGAUCAGCAUCGAGGGUAUCUGUUGGAGCUGAUGUUGACCAAAACCCGGUGUGCAGCUGGGGAAGGUAAUACAGAAUCAUCUAGUGGAGAAAGCUCUGCGAUGCUGUUAAUGUGUAAAUAUUUGAUGCGGUGUCCUAUAACGCCUGGCCGAGAUAUUGUCAUAGGAUACUUCUUAUGCUCAAUGUUUUUUCGAUUAUAACUGGUUCAAGUAGUUGUAAGGGAGAUCUCGUUCAUGGUUUAAAGAUUGUUGGAACUACGCAAUAAGGUGGUUCAAGAGGGUAAAAGGAUGUGAGUCAACUGCAAGGCAUGCUGCUUAGUUCCUGAAGAAGAUCCUCACCAUCAACCAUGAUGAUCAUAGUAAAUUGAGCGACAUUUCUUCCAUUAUUGAUGCCCUUAAAAGCUCUCCUGUAGGAUGAAUCCUAUAUUAGAAGAAGCUUAAGUUCUUGGAAUGGCUCUUAGGACCCCAUGCUUGGACAGUGUCGAGUAAGCAGAAGCUCAGUGUACUGUAAUGUUGUUGAUAUGGUUUGGUUCAUAGAGUUACCAAAUUGGGUCUGUCGCCAAAGAAGUAGUUAGGUGGGAAGUCGGAUCACAGUAAAUUCUUGGCACAAGGCAGUUAUAAGUCAAGAUUUUAGAUAGAAUUUGAGAGACAUUAUAGAAGGUUACAAACAAAACGUAAAGGAUGUCGUCCAAGGUGUUUUGUUCCCUGUAGCUGGUUUAGACAGGCAGUUGGCCUUGCGGGAGGCGCACGUGAGCUCGUAAUUGUUCGAGACCUCAAACCUAUUUUCGAUAUGUGAAUCUUGUUGACUACCUUUCCAAGUUAAGUGUCAUGUGAGAUAUGUUCCAUCUGAAUUAUGAGUAGUGGGAUUCAGCAAGUUGUGGGUAAUUCCUUCCUUAAUUUCCUGUAGAAAUGUAGAUGAAGUCCCAUGAUGUAGAAUGAACAAGUUUAUAGGAAGUAACAUGUUAUUCAGUACCAAAAUAUGCUCAACUUUGAUCCAGAAUUGUGGUGAGAGACUUGCAGUUCUAGGAAGCUAUUUUUUGUUAUAAUUUUGAGUAUCUUACAUAUGUAAUUAUAAAUGAGAUGGAUCAUGUUUGAAUUGUGCUUUGAUAUUUCAUAUUUGAUGGAAAAUGGCAGUUCU
Papaver somniferum (opium poppy) is the source of this 2651-nucleotide long non-coding RNA. RefSeq lists it as uncharacterized. The transcript has 10 exons. The record is from RefSeq and is a predicted model, not a curated record. Lineage: Eukaryota; Viridiplantae; Streptophyta; Magnoliopsida; Ranunculales; Papaveraceae.